RNAcentral lists this ribosomal RNA (394 nucleotides) under uncultured bacterium. RNAcentral's name for it is "bacterial SSU rRNA". It matches the Rfam family "Bacterial small subunit ribosomal RNA", at positions 505 to 898 of the family's 1533-position model. The record is from RNAcentral.
GUGUCAGCCGCCGCGGUAAUACAGAGGGUGCAAGCGUUAAUCGGAAUUACUGGGCGUAAAGGGCGCGUAGGCGGUUAAAUAAGUGAGAUGUGAAAUCCCUGGGCUUAACCUAGGAAUUGCAACUUAUACUGUUUGACUAGAGUACUGUAGAGGGUAGUGGAAUUUCCGGUGUAGCGGUGAAAUGCGUAGAGAUCGGAAGGAACACCAGUGGCGAAGGCGGCUACCUGGACAGAUACUGACGCUGAGGCGCGAGAGCGUGGGGAGCAAACAGGAUUAGAUACCCUGGUAGUCCACGCUGUAAACGAUGAGGACUAGAUGUUGGUAGGCGAGACCUAUUGGUAUCGAAGCUAACGCGAUAAGUCCUCCGCCUGGGGAGUACGGUCGCAAGAUUAAA